Molecule: non-coding RNA, 91 nt
Filed under: Octodon degus (degu)
Lineage: Eukaryota; Metazoa; Chordata; Mammalia; Rodentia; Octodontidae
Source: RNAcentral
AGCUGAGUGUAGUGGUGCUUACAAAUUACCAACCAGUUACAAAUUUCUUUGUUACUUCUUGACUCCCACUGCUUUCUUUAACCAGCUGGGC